CUCGUAGGCGGUCUGUUGCGUCCGCUGUGAAAACUCGGGGCUUAACCCCGAGCCUGCAGUGGAUACGGGCAGACUAGAGGUAGGUAGGGGAGAAUGGAAUUCCCGGUGUAGCGGUGAAAUGCGCAGAUAUCGGGAGGAACACCGGUGGCGAAGGCGGUUCUCUGGGCCUUACCUGACGCUGAGGAGCGAAAGCGUGGGGAGCGAACAGGAUUAGAUACCCUGGUAGUCCACGCCGUAAACGUUGGGCGCUAGGUGUGGGAUCCUUCCACGGAUUCCGUGCCGCAGCUAACGCAUUAAGCGCCCCGCCUGGGGAGUACGGCCGCAAGGCUAA
This 331-nucleotide ribosomal RNA is filed under the name uncultured Actinoallomurus sp. RNAcentral's name for it is "bacterial SSU rRNA". It matches the Rfam family "Bacterial small subunit ribosomal RNA", at positions 568 to 897 of the family's 1533-position model. The record is from RNAcentral. Lineage: Bacteria; Bacillati; Actinomycetota; Actinomycetes; Streptosporangiales; Thermomonosporaceae.